RNAcentral lists this ribosomal RNA (238 nucleotides) under uncultured bacterium. RNAcentral's name for it is "partial 16S ribosomal RNA". It matches the Rfam family "Bacterial small subunit ribosomal RNA", at positions 113 to 334 of the family's 1533-position model. The record is from RNAcentral.
CAACGUAAACAACCUGCCUUCAGGAUGGGGACAACAGACGGAAACGACUGCUAAUACCGAAUAAGUUCCAAGAGCCGCAUGGCCCAUGGAAGAAAAGGUGGCCUCCACCUGUAAGCUAUCGCCUGAAGAGGGGUUUGCGUCUGAUUAGCUGGUUGGAGGGGUAACGGCCCACCAAGGCGACGAUCAGUAGCCGGUCUGAGAGGAUGAACGGCCACACUGGAACUGAGACACGGUCCAG